AACGAACGCUGGCGGCAUGCCUAACACAUGCAAGUCGAACGAGACCUUCGGGUCUAGUGGCGCACGGGUGCGUAACGCGUGGGAAUCUGCCCCUUGGUUCGGAAUAACUUCGGGAAACUGAAGCUAAUACCGGAUAAUGACGUAAGUCCAAAGAUUUAUCGCCAAGGGAUGAGCCCGCGUAGGAUUAGCUAGUUGGUGGGGUAAAGGCUCACCAAGGCGACGAUCCUUAGCUGGUCUGAGAGGAUGAUCAGCCACACUGGGACUGAGACACGGCCCAGACUCCUACGGGAGGCAGCAGUGGGGAAUAUUGGACAAUGGGGCGAAAGCCUGUUCCAGCAAUGCCGCGUGAGUGAUGAAGGCCUUAGGGUUGUAAAGCUCUUUUACCCGGGAAGAUAAUGACUGUACCGGGAGAAUAAGCCCCGGCUAACUCCGUGCCAGCAGCCGCGGUAAU
This 451-nucleotide ribosomal RNA is filed under the name uncultured bacterium. RNAcentral's name for it is "bacterial SSU rRNA". It matches the Rfam family "Bacterial small subunit ribosomal RNA", at positions 29 to 524 of the family's 1533-position model. The record is from RNAcentral.